Molecule: ribosomal RNA, 296 nt
Filed under: uncultured bacterium
Lineage: Bacteria
Description: partial 16S ribosomal RNA
Rfam family: Bacterial small subunit ribosomal RNA
Source: RNAcentral
UGGGGAAUAUUGGACAAUGGGGGCAACCCUGAUCCAGCAAUGCCGCGUGUGUGAAGAAGGUCUUCGGAUUGUAAAGCACUUUCGACGGGGACGAUGAUGACGGUACCCGUAGAAGAAGCCCCGGCUAACUUCGUGCCAGCAGCCGCGGUAAUACGAGGGGGGCUAGCGUUGCUCGAAAUGACUGGGCGUAAAGGGCGUGUAGGCGGUUUACACAGUCAGAUGUGAAAUCCCCGGGCUUAACCUGGGAGCUGCAUUUGAUACGUGUAGACUAGAGUGUGAGAGAGGGUUUGUGGAAU